AGAUUGAACGCUGGCGGCAGGCCUAACACAUGCAAGUCGAGCGGCAGCACGGGUACUUGUACCUGGUGGCGAGCGGCGGACGGGUGAGUAAUGCCUAGGAAUCUGCCUGAUAGUGGGGGAUAACGUUCGGAAACGGACGCUAAUACCGCAUACGUCCUACGGGAGAAAGUGGGGGAUCUUCGGACCUCACGCUAUCAGAUGAGCCUAGGUCGGAUUAGCUAGUUGGUAGGGUAAAGGCCUACCAAGGCUACGAUCCGUAACUGGUCUGAGAGGAUGAUCAGUCACACUGGAACUGAGACACGGUCCAGACUCCUACGGGAGGCAGCAGUGGGGAAUAUUGGACAAUGGGCGAAAGCCUGAUCCAGCCAUGCCGCGUGUGUGAAGAAGGUCUUCGGAUUGUAAAGCACUUUAAGUUGGAGAAGGCAUUAACCUAAUACGUUAGUGUUUUGACGUUACCGACAGAAUAAGCACCGGCUAACGUCUGUGCCAGCAGCCGCGGUAA
RNAcentral lists this ribosomal RNA (502 nucleotides) under uncultured soil bacterium. RNAcentral's name for it is "bacterial SSU rRNA". It matches the Rfam family "Bacterial small subunit ribosomal RNA", at positions 26 to 523 of the family's 1533-position model. The record is from RNAcentral.